This 372-nucleotide ribosomal RNA is filed under the name uncultured organism. RNAcentral describes it as "bacterial SSU rRNA". It matches the Rfam family "Bacterial small subunit ribosomal RNA", at positions 526 to 896 of the family's 1533-position model. The record is from RNAcentral.
CGGAGGGCGCAAGCGUUGUUCGGAAUCACUGGGCGUAAAGCGCGUGUAGGCGGCCGGGCAAGUCGGAUGUGAAAUCCCGAGGCUCAACCUCGGAACUGCAUUCGAAACUGCUCGGCUCGAGUCCCGGAGAGGAUGGCGGAAUUCCCGGUGUAGGGGUGAAAUCCGUAGAUAUCGGGAGGAACACCAGUGGCGAAGGCGGCCAUCUGGACGGUGACUGACGCUGAGACGCGAAAGCGUGGGGAGCAAACAGGAUUAGAUACCCUGGUAGUCCACGCCGUAAACGGUGAGUGCUAGACGUCGCGGGUAUUGACCCCCGCGGUGUCGAAGCUAACGCGUUAAGCACUCCGCCUGGGGAGUACGGCCGCAAGGCUA